RNAcentral lists this unclassified non-coding RNA (176 nucleotides) under plant metagenome. RNAcentral describes it as "partial contains small subunit ribosomal RNA, internal transcribed spacer 1, and 5.8S ribosomal RNA". The record is from RNAcentral.
UUUCCGUAGGUGAACCUGCGGAAGGAUCAUUACAAAUCUUUUGCCAGUGCUGCGCUUGCGUAGCCUCCCAACAUUAGCACAAGGUCGCAAGGCCUUGAUGUUUACGCUUGUUUGUUUGACAGAGUUAGUUGAGACAAUAAUAAAGACAACUUUUAACAAUGGAUCUCUUGGCUCUU